This 254-nucleotide ribosomal RNA is filed under the name uncultured bacterium. Its description in RNAcentral is "partial 16S ribosomal RNA". It matches the Rfam family "Bacterial small subunit ribosomal RNA", at positions 524 to 776 of the family's 1533-position model. The record is from RNAcentral.
UACAGAGGGGGCAAGCGUUGUCCGGAAUUACUGGGCGUACAGCGCGCGCAGGCGGUUGCCGACGUGCCGUGUGACAAGCGGGGGCUCAACCCCCGAGGGCCACGGUAAACGGGGCGACUGGAGGAAGGGAGAGGGAUGUGGAAUUCCCGGUGUAGCGGUGAAAUGCGCAGAUAUCGGGAAGAACACCCGUGGCGAAGGCGGUUCUCUGGGACGGUACUGACGCUGAGACGGCGAAAGCGUGGGGAGCGAACAGG